AUGGAGUACGCAAAAACCAUAGCUGGCCUGUUCGCCAUGCUGCUCCUUGGUCCGGCUCUGGCCACCGACUCUGACCCUCUCCAGGACUUUUGUGUCGCUGACCUGGACGGCAAGGCGGUCUCGGUGAACGGGCACCCAUGCAAGCCCAUGUCGGAGGCCGGCGACGACUUCCUCUUCUCGUCCAAGCUGGCCAAGGCCGGCAACACGUCCACCCCGAACGGCUCGGCCGUGACGGAGCUUGACGUGGCUGAGUGGCCCGGUACCAACACGCUGGGCGUGUCGAUGAACCGUGUGGACUUCGCGCCGGGGGGCACCAACCCGCCACACAUCCACCCCCGUGCCACCGAGAUCGGCAUCAUGAUGAAAGGUGAGCUCCUCGUUGGAAUCCUUGGCAGCCUUGACUCGGGGAACAAGCUCUACUCCAGGGUGGUGCGCGCUGGGGAGACGUUCCUCAUCCCGCGCGGCCUCAUGCACUUCCAGUUCAACGUCGGUAAGACCGAUGCUUCCAUGGUCGUCUCCUUCAACAGCCAAAACCCCGGCAUCGUCUUUGUGCCGCUCACGCUUUUCGGCUCCAACCCGCCCAUCCCAACGCCGGUGCUCACCAAGGCACUCCGGGUGGAGGCCAGGGUCGUGGAACUUCUCAAGUCCAAGUUCUCCGCUGGGUUUUAA
Molecule: ribosomal RNA, 669 nt
Filed under: Triticum aestivum (bread wheat)
Lineage: Eukaryota; Viridiplantae; Streptophyta; Magnoliopsida; Poales; Poaceae
Description: partial small subunit ribosomal RNA
Source: RNAcentral